This 783-nucleotide ribosomal RNA is filed under the name Bacillus subtilis. RNAcentral's name for it is "bacterial SSU rRNA". It matches the Rfam family "Bacterial small subunit ribosomal RNA", at positions 35 to 799 of the family's 1533-position model. Lineage: Bacteria; Bacillati; Bacillota; Bacilli; Caryophanales; Bacillaceae. The record is from RNAcentral.
GCAAAAGGGGGGGUGCUAUACAUGCAAGUCGAGCGGACAGAUGGGAGCUUGCUCCCUGAUGUUAGCGGCGGACGGGUGAGUAACACGUGGGUAACCUGCCUGUAAGACUGGGAUAACUCCGGGAAACCGGGGCUAAUACCGGAUGGUUGUUUGAACCGCAUGGUUCAAACAUAAAAGGUGGCUUCGGCUACCACUUACAGAUGGACCCGCGGCGCAUUAGCUAGUUGGUGAGGUAACGGCUCACCAAGGCAACGAUGCGUAGCCGACCUGAGAGGGUGAUCGGCCACACUGGGACUGAGACACGGCCCAGACUCCUACGGGAGGCAGCAGUAGGGAAUCUUCCGCAAUGGACGAAAGUCUGACGGAGCAACGCCGCGUGAGUGAUGAAGGUUUUCGGAUCGUAAAGCUCUGUUGUUAGGGAAGAACAAGUACCGUUCGAAUAGGGCGGUACCUUGACGGUACCUAACCAGAAAGCCACGGCUAACUACGUGCCAGCAGCCGCGGUAAUACGUAGGUGGCAAGCGUUGUCCGGAAUUAUUGGGCGUAAAGGGCUCGCAGGCGGUUUCUUAAGUCUGAUGUGAAAGCCCCCGGCUCAACCGGGGAGGGUCAUUGGAAACUGGGGAACUUGAGUGCAGAAGAGGAGAGUGGAAUUCCACGUGUAGCGGUGAAAUGCGUAGAGAUGUGGAGGAACACCAGUGGCGAAGGCGACUCUCUGGUCUGUAACUGACGCUGAGGAGCGAAAGCGUGGGGAGCGAACAGGAUUAGAUACCUUGGUAGUCCAAA